RNAcentral lists this long non-coding RNA (1416 nucleotides) under Mytilus galloprovincialis (Mediterranean mussel). The record is from RNAcentral. Lineage: Eukaryota; Metazoa; Mollusca; Bivalvia; Mytilida; Mytilidae.
UUUCAUAAUACUAAAACUUUUUUGGAUUUCCAGACAACAACAAAAUUGCAAAUACAUCUUACAUUAUUACUGAAAUAUAAUUAGAUUACAUUUUCAUUAUUCUUGUUUUCUAUACAAUAUUAAAACAUUAAUGUACAAAAUUUAAUUUUAAAAUAUGGAGGCUGAAAACCAAACCUAGCCAUGAUGUGGAAAAAGUUACCAGGAUAACAAGGGAGACGACGAGAAUACAGUAUUACAUACAUGUUCCACCAUUGGAGCAGAGAAGAAUAUAAAGUACUAAGUGUUUGCCCCAUUGCCAUGGAAAAAAAACCUACUGUUGUAAUAUAUGAGCGUGAUAUCAUUUUGUGAUUUUACCUCAUUUAAAUAUAUAUGAUCACAUGGCCAUUUUUUUUUACCGAAACCUUCCAAUUUCAUAGAAAAUGUCCCAUAAUUUCGAUAAAAAUUUUAAAAAAUCUUUGGCCCUUAAUGGUAUACUUUUGAGGACAAAUUUGUGCUAUCAUUAAACUUUAUUCAUGAUGCUUUCCAGGAGAAAUAUAUAUAACUGAUAUAACAACCAAUCAUUAAUAGCCAGCUAUUUUAAUCUCUAUGUCAUGUCCCCUUCACAAAUGACUGCGCCUAUGUAGCAUUUUGAUAUUUUUUACAAUUAGCAGACAGACCAUAAAUAGUAAAAAAAAAUAUCAUAAGGACUUAAGGGCUACGGUUCUGCAGCUAGCGCCCAGGUUACUUGAUUUAUUACAUUAUAACCAGAACAACCAUUCUUCUACCAUCAAUUAUAUUUGAUCAUUGUACCUUUUCUGAUUAGUGUUUUGUUGACUGAUGUGCAGAUGUGUUUUCUAUCGUGUUGCCAUUGUGUUGUUUGCUUACAUCAACAGUACCAUAAUAUAUUUUCUCGUUUUAUAAUAAUAACAAUGACUGAAUUAAAAAUAUUUGAAUUUGAAUAAAAACAUAUGUUGUACUUUCAUAAGCAAUAUGUGUAUGCACGUUAUAUGAACCUGUAAGCAAAAGUCUUAUCUAUAAAUAUAAUUCAAUAUACUAUGGAUUUCAAUAUAUAUUUUUGCAUAUAUGCAAAUAAAGUAAGCAUUAUCAUUUACAGUAAAUGUUUAACAAUUUCAAUAUUGAUAUGCAUUAAUCAUCUAUUAACAACUAUACAUUUAUAAGUAGAUCUUACAUAAGUUAACCCCUUCACAGACUAGACACCAAAAAAAACUAAUAUUAACAUCACUUAAAUGACUAGUAACUACAUUAACAAAAAGUGCUAACAGAACUACAUGACUAGAUUAACACUACAACCAUAAUAUUAACAGUUAACAAGUUAGUUAUAUCCUCUACCAUUCAAUGAUUCAUACAUAAAGCACUAUAUAUCAUAAUUUAACACAUGAUUAUUUAAAAAUAUAAAUUUAUUGUGAUAAAUAUUCA